Molecule: unclassified non-coding RNA, 170 nt
Filed under: uncultured Penicillium
Lineage: Eukaryota; Fungi; Ascomycota; Eurotiomycetes; Eurotiales; Aspergillaceae
Description: sequence contains ITS1
Source: RNAcentral
CUGAGUGAGGGCCCUCUGGGUCCUAACCCCCCACCCGUGUUUAUUGUACCUUGUUGCUUCGGUGCGCCCGCCUCACGGCCGCCGGGGGCUUCCGCCCCCGGGUCCGCGCACCGGAGACACUAUUGAACUCUGUCUGAAGAUUGCAGUCUGUGCAUAAACUAAAUAAGUUA